AACGAACGCUGGCGGCAGGCUUAACACAUGCAAGUCGAACGCCACCUUCGGGUGGAGUGGCAGACGGGUGAGUAACGCGUGGGAACAUACCUUUUGGUUCGGAAUAUUCCCGGGAAACUGGGAGCAAUACCGGAUAAGCCCUUCGGGGGAAAGAUUUAUCGCCAAAAGAUUGGCCCGCGUUAGAUUAGGUAGUUGGUAGGGUAAAGGCCUACCAAGCCUACGAUCUAUAGCUGGUCUGAGAGGAUGAUCAGCCACAUUGGGACUGAGACACGGCCCAAACUCCUACGGGAGGCAGCAGUGGGGAAUAUUGGACAAUGGGCGCAAGCCUGAUCCAGCCAUGCCGCGUGAAUGAUGAAGGCCUUAGGGUUGUAAAAUUCUUUCAACGGGGACGAUAAUGACGGUACCCGUAGAAGAAGCCCCGGCUAACUUCGUGCCAGCCGCCGCCGUAA
Molecule: ribosomal RNA, 449 nt
Filed under: uncultured bacterium
Lineage: Bacteria
Description: partial 16S ribosomal RNA
Rfam family: Bacterial small subunit ribosomal RNA
Source: RNAcentral